RNAcentral lists this long non-coding RNA (449 nucleotides) under Mytilus galloprovincialis (Mediterranean mussel). Lineage: Eukaryota; Metazoa; Mollusca; Bivalvia; Mytilida; Mytilidae. The record is from RNAcentral.
AAAACAUAUUACAGUCAUUCCUUAAAAAUAUUUGUAAUAAGUCUCAAAGACAUUGCCAAAUGUUACGACCCCCCCCUCCUGUUAACAUUGACACAUUUAUAAAACACACUUAUACAUUACUAUCAUCAUUAUCAUCUUACCUUAUAAUGAUUGUACUUAUCUUUUGUUAGGAGGCAAGACUUAGAUGGAUCAGUAUGUGAUGAAAUACAAGCCGACGAGGGAAAAAAACAAGUAUAAGAAAACUUAUCUUGACGUUAAUGACGAAUAUAGUGAACUCGGACAUCGAUUUUGAAAAACCCAUAGAACCUGCGUCAACAAAUCUGUGAUGUAAGUUAGGGAUAGUGCAUGGCCUAUGAUGAAUAAAAAUACAGACUGCGAAUUACAAAGAUUUAAUUAUUGUUGUAGGUCGUUCAGUUUCGAGUGAAGAGGUGUCUCAUUAGCAAUCACAC